UGGGGAAUUUUGGACAAUGGGGGAAACCCUGACCCAGCCAUCCCGCGUGUGCGAUGAAGGCCUUCGGGUUGUAAAGCACUUUUGGCAGGAAAGAAACGUCGUGGGUUAAUACCCCGCGAAACUGACGGUACCUGCAGAAUAAGCACCGGCUAACUACGUGCCAGCAGCCGCGGUAAUACGUAGGGUGCAAGCGUUAAUCGGAAUUACUGGGCGUAAAGCGUGCGCAGGCGGUUCGGAAAGAAAGAUGUGAAAUCCCAGAGCUUAACUUUGGAACUGCAUUUUUAACUACCGGGCUAGAGUGUGUCAGAGGGAGGUGGAAUUCCGCGUGUAGCAGUGAAAUGCGUAGAUAUGCGGAGGAACACCGAUGGCGAAGGCAGCCUCCUGGGAUAACACUGACGCUCAUGCACGAAAGCGUGGGGAGCAAACAGGAUUAGAUACCCUGGUAGUCCACGCCCUAAACGAUGUCAACUAGCUGUUGGGGUCUUCGGACCUUGGUAGCGCAGCUAACGCGUGAAGUUGACCGCCUGGGGAGUACGGUCGCAAGAUUAAAACUUAAAUGAAUUG
RNAcentral lists this ribosomal RNA (564 nucleotides) under uncultured bacterium. RNAcentral's name for it is "partial 16S ribosomal RNA". It matches the Rfam family "Bacterial small subunit ribosomal RNA", at positions 355 to 912 of the family's 1533-position model. The record is from RNAcentral.